UACGUAGGCAGCAAGCGUUGUUCGGAUUCAUUGGGCGUAAAGGGUGCGUAGGCGGCGCGGUAAGUCGGGUGUGAAAUCUCGGAGCUUAACUCCGAAACUGCAUUCGAUACUGCCGUGCUUGAGGACUGGAGAGGAGACUGGAAUUUACGGUGUAGCGGUGAAAUGCGUAGAUAUCGUAAGGAAGACCAGUGGCGAAGGCGGGUCUCUG
RNAcentral lists this ribosomal RNA (208 nucleotides) under uncultured bacterium. Its description in RNAcentral is "partial 16S ribosomal RNA". It matches the Rfam family "Bacterial small subunit ribosomal RNA", at positions 524 to 731 of the family's 1533-position model. The record is from RNAcentral.